CUCGUCACACUAUCAUUAACUGAAUCCAUAGGUUAAUGAGGCGAACCGGGGGAACUGAAACAUCUAAGUACUCCGAGGAAAAGAAAUCAACCGAGAUUCCCCCAGUAGCGGCGAGCGAACGGGGAGGAGCCCAGAGCCUGAAUCAGCAUGUGUGUUAGUGGAAGCGUCUGGAAAGGCGCGCGAUACAGGGUGACAGCCCCGUACACAAAAGCGCAUGUGCUGUGAGCUCGAUGAGUAGGGCGGGACACGUGGUAUCCUGUCUGAAUAUGGGGGGACCAUCCUCCAAGGCUAAAUACUCCUGACUGACCGAUAGUGAACCAGUACCGUGAGGGAAAGGCGAAAAGAACCCCGGCGAGGGGAGUGAAAAAGAACCUGAAACCGUGU
This 384-nucleotide ribosomal RNA is filed under the name Salmonella enterica subsp. enterica serovar Newport. Its description in RNAcentral is "partial 23S ribosomal RNA". It matches the Rfam family "Bacterial large subunit ribosomal RNA", at positions 139 to 561 of the family's 2925-position model. Lineage: Bacteria; Pseudomonadati; Pseudomonadota; Gammaproteobacteria; Enterobacterales; Enterobacteriaceae. The record is from RNAcentral.